GCAUAUCAAUAAGCGGAGGAAAAGAAACCAACAGGGAUUGCCUCAGUAGCGGCGAGUGAAGCGGCAAAAGCUCAAAUUUGAAAUCUGGCGUCUUUGGCGUCCGAGUUGUAAUUUGAAGAAGGUAUCUUUGGGCCCGGCUCUUGUCUAUGUUCCUUGGAACAGGACGUCACAGAGGGUGAGAAUCCCGUGCGAUGAGAUGACCCGGGUCUGUGUAAAGUUCCUUCGACGAGUCGAGUUGUUUGGGAAUGCAGCUCUAAGUGGGUGGUAAAUUCCAUCUAAAGCUAAAUAUUGGCGAGAGACCGAUAGCGAACAAGUACAGUGAUGGAAAGAUGAAAAGAACUUUGAAAAGAGAGUGAAAAAGUACGUGAAAUUGUUGAAAGGGAAGGGCUUGAGAUCAGACUUGGUAUUUUGCAUGUUGCUCUCUCGGGGGCGGCCGCUGCGGUUUACCGGGCCAGCAUCGGUUUGGAGCGGCAGGAUAAUGGCGGAGGAAUGUGGCACGGCUUCUGCUGUGUGUUAUAGCCUCUGACGAUACUGCCAGCCUAGACCGAGGACUGCGGUUUUUACCUAGGAUGUUGGCAUAAUGAUCUUAAGUCGCCCGUCUU
This 602-nucleotide ribosomal RNA is filed under the name Candida albicans. Its description in RNAcentral is "LSU rRNA". It matches the Rfam family "Eukaryotic large subunit ribosomal RNA", at positions 38 to 655 of the family's 3401-position model. Lineage: Eukaryota; Fungi; Ascomycota; Pichiomycetes; Serinales; Debaryomycetaceae. The record is from RNAcentral.